Danio rerio (zebrafish) is the source of this 913-nucleotide non-coding RNA. The record is from RefSeq and is a predicted model, not a curated record. Lineage: Eukaryota; Metazoa; Chordata; Actinopteri; Cypriniformes; Danionidae.
CUGUUCAGAUAUGAAUAUUCUUCAGGUUCUUUAGAUUUCUUUAAAAAUCCAAUUUUGUUUUCUAAUAAGCAAAAAGUUAAAUCACUUUACCCAUGUUUAUAUGUUAAAUUGCACUUGUCUCUCUCUCUAUCUCUGUUAACACAUUUGUAUUUGUUUGAUUCAUUCUUGUGUCUUUCAGUCUGUUUCUGCCUAUCACCAUGAGUGAUUCCUUGAUACUCAUAUUUAUCAUCAAGAUCUCAAUUAUAAGCUCAAGUCUUGAUGACAACUUGAUGAUCUGCAGGAAGCACCACCAUGUAUAGAGGGCCAAGACCACUCUGGAAUCAGUCAAGGGUGAAAUGGAGUGAGGCAUACCAGGAUAUGCCUGGUUUUACUCUUGGGAAGGAGGUUGAACAGUGCAGUGUUUCUUCUCUAGGAUUGCAGUGACCAGACAUGCUACUGUAACUCUCAUGGUCAUGUGCUGGAAUUAGCAGAUAUUCAACAAUUUGGCCAUCUCGCUGACCCAUUGAUAUCAGAAGACUGUAACAGCUCUGCAAAGCAAGUUGCAAAACAGAAUCCAUGAAACUGGCAGUGACUGGAAACCAAUUGGAAGACUUUGGUCUGUGAUGUAGAGGAGUGGGCAGACGCAGAAGCAAAGACAACAAAAAACAGAAGUGAUAUGGAUGUCUUCAUCAUAUGGCAUGACUCUGCUGACCCAGCAACAAAGAGGAGGGUGUUCAACAUCAUCCUGCUAGUCAGGAUUCUUCAGGAAAAGCAGUGGAUUCUUGUGGCAGAGAUGGCCAACCACUAGAAAUACCUUUCAACUCAUCCUGGUUCCUUCAAAGAACUUUCCUGCUUGUUUGCUACUGAAAAGUACUGAUUCGACAUGUGGCCUAAACGAAGAGGGGUUAAAAGGUCUAUGGAUCAUCAUUCUCAG